UUCCAAACUGAAGCCGCUGUAUGUAACUAA
RNAcentral lists this non-coding RNA (30 nucleotides) under Rattus norvegicus (Norway rat). Lineage: Eukaryota; Metazoa; Chordata; Mammalia; Rodentia; Muridae. The record is from RNAcentral.